GGGUAGCGCAGCGCAACGCCGGGAAGGAGAAGUUUCCGCUGCUGCUGCCUCUGCUUCGCUCGCGCUCUCCCUCCUGCCUGUGGAAAGUGGGCAGCGCAGGCUGCCGAAAGGAGCCGGGUGGAAAGUGCCCGAGGAGAGGUGGCGCCUGCGAAGUUCAGGUAAGUGGGGUAACUAGGGAGGGAGGUGGGUGCUGGGGCUUCGGGGUAGGGCUUGGUUUCCGGCUGGGUGUUUUAAGGUUGGGCGCAGUUAAGGGAAAGCAUUUUAAAAAAGUGGGGGGGACAGCAUUUCUUGGUUUCACUUUCAGCGUGCGGCAUAGAGCAUCCCCCCCCCCCUUCCCGGCCAAGUCAAUUAAAAGGCGCAUCCGUACUCAGGGAAGAAUUUAAGUCGUCAAAGCCAAGUGUAGAUGUUCGCCGAGGAACGAACGGAAGCAAGUUCGUACCAGGUCAUUGACAGUCCUCGAUCCCCCCCCCCCCCAAGCUCUGGGAAAGGGCUCUGAACUUCCAUUUAACUUUUUUCCUCCCUUUCUUAAUAUUAUUUCGAAACGCUUCGUUGCCUAAUGAAGUUGCAGCUGAUCCAUUGAGGAGGAAAGAAGCAGUUUCACUUUUGUCGCAAAUUAGCCGGUCGAUUAAUUGGUCGGCCAGGUUUCCACACUCGCUCCGCUUCAGGGUGUGCAAGGAAAGGAAUGGGGCUUCUUGCUUCGUUUUGGUUUGCGAUCAGUAUAACUUGAUUCUGAGCAGACUUGCAAGAAGGGGUUGCGCUGUUCGGUUGCCUGUGCUUGUAUAAACACCAAGUGGGGUGGCGGAGGAUGUAAUUCAUAUCCAGUUAAGUCAGUGGGUAAAAGUGGCGGCGGGGAAUUGUCCUCCAGGUGGAAACGGAACUUCCUUAUUGCUCCAACUUCUACAGCAAGAUCUCUUCCUUUCUUUUCUGUGAAUUAGCUGGGGGCUCUGAAUCCAUUUUUCACUGGACUGACCUGUUUCUUCCAAGUUGACAUGAUGUUUUGUGUUGGGAAAGUGCAGAACAGAAUUAAGCAAAAAGUGGCCAAAUGGAGAGACUUCAAAACGCCUGCAGCUGACGCCUUGUCCUGUGUUGUAGAAAGUCCCUCUGGUGUGGUCUGCAUCUGUCUUGCACAUGUUGGAAUGGCCCAGGGGUGUUGAAACAGAAGCUUUCUGGGCUUAUUUUUGUAUGUGUUGAAAUAUGGGAAGUAGUGUGGCCGAACAUAUUGGGUCUUAGGGAGUGCUGGUGGUGACUCUGCUGCUGAUCUAUUUCUUGUGUAUUUCAGAUCCAUGUUGGUAGGGGCAGGGGUGGUGGUAGUGGGGUGUCUGUUGCUGAUAUCUUAGAAGAGCCUGCCUGCCUGUGGUUGGUCUAAUUCUCCAGAAGCAGGUGAGCCACUGACUAACGCACAUUGUGCUGCUAGUGCCCCCACUGUGCGUGUGACAGCGGCUAACCUGCUUUUCGGUCAUCACUAUUUCUCCUUCUGCUACCUCCUGCCCCUUCCCCAAGAAGAAACAACGCAUUGGAGCCUGGUGACUUCUUCCAGUCUGAAUACAGUUGGAGAAAAGACUCCUUCAAGAGCUGGACAUCAACCACUAACAAGCUUGCACAUCCAUGGCUGUUGCAGAAGAGCAGAGUUGACGUGUGCACACUCAUGGGCAUGUAUGUUCCUUCCUUUGAGGAUGUAUGGAAGACUCAAAAUAAAAUGUGUUGGAUGUGCUAUUAAAUAGGUUGUGCUUUCCCUCGGGAAGGCGUGCAAUUGGCAAAGACUACUUGGCUUGGACUCUCUUGGGUUUUCCCAUAAAAUCAAUGAAGUGGAAUGCAUACAGAAUGAAGCAGAGAGCUGUGUGGGUAAAUGUAUGAUGGUCAGUCUAAGGGAUUGAACACCCUUGCCAAAAUAAAAUAAAAUUAUACACUUCUAAAAAGAAUCUUCCUCCUGUCACGGUUUAGUAAUGAGUGAGUGAGUCAGGCAGUUGCGAAAUUACAAGUGUGAGGGGCGCUCUCUGAUCUUCUGAGCAUCAUUUGCAACCAUUCUCCCCCCUUCCUCUGAGGUCUUUGUGGUUUCUUGCUCCUUUCUCCACUUACUUGUCCUGUAGGUGCAGAUUAGGACAGGACAAGGGGUUAAGCAAUGGCCUGUAAUCUCAGACACACGGACCACUUAAAAGUCCUUGGCACAUGAGACCACCGCAUUGCUGAAGCUGAUCUGAUCUAGGUCAGAUGGAUGAGUGACCCUCUCCCACAGAGCUAUCUGUGUGCCACCUUGAAUUCCAUAAUGGACGAAAGGCAGGAUAUAAAUGUAGGAAAACAAACACUUACAAGCCUCUCUCCUGCAUGAAAGGCAGAAAUGCAGUUUUAUGUGCACUGUCAGGGUUUUAAACUCAUUGGUCAUGCAGGAAAGUAUAUUUACAACUGCAUUUCAGGCUUCUUUCAUUUUCAUGAAACCUGCGAAGAGGUUUUCUACCUGAAGUGCUUUUUUUUGUUUUUCAAUCUGCCAUUUCACAUUUUUUACAUUUUCCCUGCAGAAAAGUGAUGAGAGGAAAAGCUUUUUCAAUUUCACCAAUAUUGGGAACAGCUUCACCCACUCUUCCUUUCCCUGCUACUCCAUAGCUGCUGCUGCUGCUUCAAGAAAGAGAAGAGGGGAGUUUCCCCUUCAAAAGGGCAUGGGGAAUGCACACAGUGAUCCCCCCCCCCGCCGGAAACUGUCAAGGCCCUGUUUCUCUGGAGAGCAGAGAAAAGGACAGUAAAGAAAAUAGUUGAGCAAGCUAGGAGGAUAUCUGUGGGGUUGCAUCAUAGUCUAAACACAGAGCAAGGUGGAGUAGGCAAAUGCCCUUGGGGGUGUCUUCUCCCACGGCACCUGGGAUGGUUAAGGUAUAACAUUUAAAGAGGUGAAAACACAACCUGUGAAUAAUGAAAAUGUGGCAUUAACAGGUGACUAUCAUUUUACCAUUUGUGUCCAGUAGAAGGACUCUAGGAUGGCCAAAUUAUUACUUUUUUAUGUCUGCUUGAAAUAAUUUUGCUUGAAGGAAUGGUUAAAAUUUUCUUGUAGGUCAUUCUGUUCAUGAUGUAAAAACUGCCAGAUUACCGUGGUUUUGUAUCACUUCUGUUGGUUCUGUCUAACACUAGUUUUAUGUGCAAUGUUGUACAAUUAUUAUUCCAUUCCUCCUCAUCACAAUCUUAUUAAGCAGGUCAUUGCGCUCCUGCUGCCCAACCAAAAUUGUGAGGGAGAUACUCUUGGCAGUGAUACUUAAGGAAUCCAUGGUGACAACUGGAAUUUGGACCCAAAUUUCCCUAGGUAGUCAAGCAAUCCACUGUGUUGCAUUGGCUCAUUGUUCAGAUGUGUUUAUUUUCACAGCGAGGUUCCAGGAAAAUGAAGGUGUAGUUACUGACAAAGCAGUAUGCAAACACUAAAGGAGAUGCUAUAUAUGCCUCCCCAGAUACACAAAUGUGGGACCAUAAAACUGCUUCAAAUAUUAAUUGUUGUUCUAGCCCAAAGAGCUAUGGUAGUGCUCAAUGUCUUGCUAGCAUGAUUUGUGGAAUGUGUGUUGCCAAAAUAUAUAUUAUUUCCUUACAUAUACUUUGCAGCUUCUGAUUGUAACACAGAUCUGCCUGGCCUCUGUAGGGUGGUUAAAAACAUAGUUGCCUUAAUCUAAUUCCAAUGCCCAGACAGAAAGGAAAGUGAUGCUGACAGCUGUUGGUUGAUUAAUGUUCUUGGGUUGUCUUUGGUUUGUGUGCUGUGCUCCUCCAGACUCUGGGAGUGCCCCAGUACACCUUACAAUGUACACCUCAUUGCAGUUCACUGGGUGUCUUUUUCAUCAGAGAGGUUGUGAACUAAGUAAGCUAGAGGGAAUUUCCUAGAGAGAUGUGUCUUCUGCAGUACCAACAACAUAGAUGAAAUGGCCAGCUUUGCUUGUUACCAAUUCCCUUGACCACAACACAUAUACUUCUGUCUUAUAGGCAGGCAGGCAGGCACACUCAUCCAGGCAUGCUCCUCAGUUGAUAUACUGGAAGAUCAAAUAGCAUGUGUGAAUGAGCAAUCGAAGACAUGAAAUAAUUUUAUCACCUCAUUUUAAAAGAAGUCAGUGGAACUGGUUUACAUAUUCAGCUGUGAGUAAUCAAGUGAUGUAUGUGAAUGUGAGAACCAGCUUUAGUGAUGAAACCUGGAGAAAUAUUCAUCAUGUAUUAACGUGAUUCUCUAAAUGAAAGUGGAUGACUUCUUCGAACAGAACGGAUCCAUUAGCCACCAACAAUCAACUUACCUACAGUUCGUUGUUUGUUCUCAACUUUACAACUGUGUGUAAAUUACCUAUACGAUACUGCUCAAAAUAAGCAAGAUUUUAUAUAGCAUCACAUUCACUAUAAGGAAGAUUUACUUUUUUCAGGGUACCCCACCAGUAAAUUUCCCAUUGCAGUGGCUCAUGAACUCGUAUGCUUAUCUGUAAAAUGGGAAUAAUUAUGACCUAAUGCAGGUUUGUGGCAAGGCUGAAUAAGAGUUUGUAAAGCAUUAUAUAACAUAAGAAAUUCAUCAUGUAAUCUACUGGAAGGUUGUUGGCAUUGGCAAAUAUUAUUUGUCACUUCAUCUUUGUCUUAUUGUUAAAUCAGUAAACAUUUGCAACCAAAAUGUGUGUGUGUGUGUUACUUUUGGGAUGGAAAUAUGCUUUACUAUGAGCCACAUUUGAUAAUCCUCAGUUACUGAAAAUGAGGAGGGGAUCUAAUUUCAUCAUCUUUUAUAACCUCACUUUACCAUCCAAGUCACUGCAUUUAUACUCCCCUUUCGUUGUGACUUCAUUUGCCAUUUAGCUGACCUGUAGAUCUGUACAGGAACAAUAAGAAAUAUUAGUAUCCUCAUCAAGACUAUGGACUCUAGAGAUCUCAAGAGGACCUUUAAUUCUAAACAAUGCAAACAGUGCACAUUUCUGAUGAGAAAAAUCAAUUUAUUUGUUGUGAACCGCGCCCCCCGCAACAUAAGGCAUGGAUCUUAAAUGGUAACUUUCAGGUAUUUCUGUUUUGAUGAAGAAUGUUAUGAGUUAAAAGUCAAAUUAUCUUAAUUCUUGUUUUGCUACCAGUACAUACAUACUGAGAAUUGAGAUCCAUGGUCAUGCAUGAUUAAAGCAUGUAGCUAUGAAAGCAAAGAUACCAGAAUUCAAAUGCAGGCUACUUAAGCAAAGUAUGAAGGCUCUGCAUUAAAAGAAUAAUAAAAAAAUGUAAGAUCAGACGCUCAAGUGGGGUAAAGUUUUGCUAAAUAUAAAAUAACCAAGCACAUAGGAGAACAAGUCAGCAUAACUUCUCCAAGGGCAAGUCCUGUCUCACAACCGAUUAUAAGUUAUUUGGGAGUUUUAAGUGUACUGAUAGUUGUUUCAGCUUGCAGAGUAUACUUGGACUUUCAAAAAGACUCCUGGGUUAAGCUUAGUUGUGUAAAAAGAUGAGAGGUCCUGUGAUUCAAGGGGACGGAGCAAUUCCCUAUGAGGAAAGCAUUCAGGACCUUUUAGAGAAAAGGCAAGGAAGUGGUGACUUGCAUGCAUGCAUGCAUGCAAGGAAUUGUGCAUGGCUUGGAAAAGUGCAUGAAGAAAAGUCUGCCUCCUCAACACUCUAGAACUCGGGGAUAUCUCAUGAAUUGGAAUUUUGGAAGGUUCAGGACAGAUGAUAGUACCUCUCCAAGCACUGAUGGCCCCCUACUUGGAUGGCUUUAAAAGAAGAUUAGACAAAUUCAUGGAGAUAAGGCUAUCAAUGGCUACUAGCUACAAUGGCUGUGCUCUGCCUCUAGUGUCUGAGGCAGUAAAGUUAUGACUACCAGGAGUCAGAAGCCAUAGGAGGGAAGAGUGCUCUUGUGCCCGGCUCCUGCUUGCUGGUUUCCCACAGGCAUCUGGUUGGCCACCGUGAGAACGGGAUACUGGAUGCAUUGGCCUGACCCAUCAGGCUGUUAUGUUCUGAUGCAUAACAUUAUUCAACUGGAGAAGUAGGCAUGCUGGUACUGUAGUGCUGUAAGAAUUGCCAGUGAAGGUCGUUUAACUUCUUAAGAAUUCUUUUGACUAAGAUAUAGUGGUACCUCGGGUUAAGAACUUAAUUCGUUCUGGAGGUCCGUUCUUAACCUGAAACUGUUCCUAACCUGAGGUACCACUUUAGCUAAUGGGGCCUCCCGCUGCCAGCGCUGUGCGAUUUCUGUUCUCACCCUGAAGCAAAGUUCUUAACCCGAGGUACUAUUUCUGGGUUAGCGGAGUCUGUAACCUGAAGUGUCUGUAACCCGAGCUACCACUGUACUCUGAUGUAUUAUUAUAAUUCCUUUUGGAGAAGGCAGGUUGAGACACCCUUCCCUGCUCCUAAUGUGCGCCAGAGUCUCUUGACUAUGCCAGUGGGAUCCUAGAAGAAUGUAAAUAGCAUUUGGGGCUGAGAGCAGUAUGUUUCUGAAGCACCGGAAGAGCACAUGUUACUCUCACAUCAAUGUAAGCAGAGGCUUACAUAAUGCUUCUUAAAAUCAGUUGGCAGGAAAUUCCACUGGGAUAGAGAACUUGCUCAUCCAGAAACAGUCAGAAUCUUUUGAUACAGAACAAGAGCCACUGAAAAAAUAAUAAGGCGAAUCCUAAACUCUUGUCUCCCUGCUAUUAAGUGUCUCUUGCAUAGGACAUGUGCCCUUCUGGAUUUGUUGGGUUUUGAAGUUACACUGCUUGACUCAUUUGCAGUACCCUAAGCAUGAGACUAUUUGAGAGCAGCUUUGCUUAUCUGGAUGGCCUGGUGUGUGUGGGUGUGUUGACACAAGGCAGCGGCAGAGAUAACAGGCUUGUAUUGUGUGUUGCUGAGUCUUACUUCCCUGAUUGAAAUGCUCUUGUUUAACUUGCUUGCAAGCCAUCUGCCCGAAGAUGAUGAGCCCUCUUGGCUAAAGCAGCCCCUUCUAGUAUAUAAAAAACUCCUGUUUGCACAUCACCUGGAAAGGCGUUGGAGUCAGCCAGAUCUCUUCCUGUACUUUAGACCUUGGAUUUAUUUAACAGGCAAUUCCUGAAAGAAGACUUGGGAAAGCUGGCUGCAAGAAACCCAACAUACAGAAAUUUGCACUGCUGCUACAUAGUCUACCUUUUGAUUUGUCCUACAUUACAAGGGAAGGCCAAGACACACAUUCUUGGCCAGGGGUGGGCGCUCUUUGGUCUUCCAGAUGUUGCGGGACUACAACACCCAUCAUCCCUGCUGGCUGGCUGAGGCUGAUGAAGGCCAACAGCACCUGGAGGGCCACAGAUUCUCCUUUGAUUGUGGCCUCAAUUUUGACUCAGUAUUUUGAGUUCUGGACCUUGCAGAAAUGGCAGGUAUGUAAUACAUGGAGGUGCCCAGCUGGCGAGGGAGGAGGAUUAAGCUGGGUGAGUUGGGAAAGAACUUGUUUCUGCUCUUGAACUUCCAUUAUCAAAUAUUUCUAGCUGCUGCAGGAAGAGCAUACUGGCCACCUCCACAGAAAGAGCAGGCAACAUCAGGCAACCACCACACUUUAUAGCAUGCUUGUUCUCUGUAGGGUUCUUCUCUCCCAUUGGCUAGAUUUCCCUCUGUUAUGUGUAGGGAGAGUUGUUGGCCCUCUCUUCCCCACCCCGCCAUAUCUCCACAUUUUGUUUAGUAAUGCUGGCAUAAUGCGUUGCUCACUACUUCCAUGAAAUGCGCAGCUUGCUGCAUUGUUUACUAGGAAAGCAUUGAGCGCAAUAGAAAGUGACUCUGAAGUCUGCUUGAAUCUGAAAUAAGCUUACCAAUGCUGCUAGGAACUGAUGUUUGCCAUCUUAAAAAACAAAACAAAACAAAAACAACCACACUGGUGACCUUACCCCUCUGGUAUGACUUCAUCAGCUAUUGGAAAUACAACAUACCCACCCAUGUGAUGUUGCUGCUCAACUGUUCUUUGUCUAGCUGGCGGGGGGGAUGCCUGAUGAUGCCCACAAAGAGAUGAUUUGAAAUCCCAGCUUGGACUAUGAAAGUUAAAUUCUACUCUGUGUAAAGAGAGCAGCCCUUUGAUUGUUCAUUAAAAAAAUAAUUAUUUGAAUAAGGAAUGGCUUUUGAAGAGGAGACACCCCCCUCCAUUCCCCAUACUCCCUCCUUCACAUACAUAAAAAUGUCCUCAGGCUCCAUCUGUGUUCUUCCUGGUAUCUUUAGGGCAGCACAGAAGCUAAAAUCAGAUGCUGACUCUGUACAAAUUAUUACGCUUGUAGCAUGAGGGAAUCCAGUUAUGAAAGCAGAAGUAAACUCACCUCCUGCUUUGGCCAUGAUUCCUUCCGAAGGAACCCGUCAGGGGCAAGUUCGUGGCUGCACCCUGCUGUCAGCAAACAGCAUCCUUACAUGCUUUUGUGAAUAAAUCUUGGUUCAUUCCCAAAAGAGAUUUAGGUAAGAUUUAGGGGCGGC
This 8352-nucleotide long non-coding RNA is filed under the name Podarcis lilfordi (Lilford's wall lizard). The stretch from base 1370 to 1466 matches the Rfam family "mir-210 microRNA precursor family". Lineage: Eukaryota; Metazoa; Chordata; Lepidosauria; Squamata; Lacertidae. The record is from RNAcentral.